AAAACGAUGAGCAAAUCCCCAGGCCUUGAGUGGGUCAGCAGUGAUCACAUCUAUCCGCAGGGAUCCACGGGGAAGCUGGUGUGCGCCGGAUAAAGGUAGGUGGUCCCUCUGGCACAGGCCGCCCUAAGGCCAAGGCCCCCCAGAUGCAGCUCAUUCCUGGCUCCCUCUGACAGAUGGCAACCGCCGAUGAGAUUGUGAAACUCAUGCUCGACCACAUGACAAACACCACCAACGCGUCCCAUGUGCCUGUGCAGCCCGGCUCCUCAGUUGUGAUGAUGGUCAACAACCUGGGUGGCCUGUCAUUCCUGGAACUGGGCAUCAUAGCCGACGCUACCGUCCGCUCCCUGGGUGAGCCAUGCACUGGGAAGGGGAUCCUACAGCCCUUUGGAAAGGGCUGAGGGAGGGUCUUGUGAUGGCAGAGAACACGGACUGUGCGUCAGAUAAGCCUGAGUUAAAUCGUCUCUCUGCCACCUAAUUGCCGGAUACCUUGAGCCUCUGUUUGUUUUCUUGUCUGCAAAUUGGGGGUAAUAAUAAUGGUACCUGCUUUAUACCAUUGUUUUGAGGAUUAAGUGAGAUUAAACAUGUGUAAGACACUCAACACAGCGCCCAGCACCUGGCACGAACUGAGUAAAUGAGACCUGUAAUUACUUAUCUUCCCCGACG
RNAcentral lists this small RNA (663 nucleotides) under Pan troglodytes (chimpanzee). RNAcentral describes it as "retained intron". Lineage: Eukaryota; Metazoa; Chordata; Mammalia; Primates; Hominidae. The record is from RNAcentral.